This 864-nucleotide ribosomal RNA is filed under the name uncultured bacterium. Its description in RNAcentral is "bacterial SSU rRNA". It matches the Rfam family "Bacterial small subunit ribosomal RNA", at positions 65 to 922 of the family's 1533-position model. The record is from RNAcentral.
GGCAGCACGAAGAAGCUUGCUUCUUUGGUGGCGAGUGGCGAACGGGUGAGUAACACAUCGGAAUGUACCGUUUAGUGGGGGACAACUUCAGGAAAUUGAAGCUAAUACCGCAUACGAACUAAGGUUGAAAGCAGGGGACCCUCGGGCCUUGCGCUAAACGAGCAGCCGAUGGAAGAUUAGCUAGUUGGUGGGGUAAAGGCUCACCAAGGCGACGAUCUUUAGCGGGUCUGAGAGGACGAUCCGCCACACUGGAACUGAGACACGGUCCAGACUCCUACGGGAGGCAGCAGUGGGGAAUUUUGGACAAUGGGGGCAACCCUGAUCCAGCAAUGCCGCGUGAGUGAAGAAGGCCUUCGGGUUGUAAAGCUCUUUUGUUAGGGAAGAAAAGGUAGCUAAUAAUACUAGCUGCUGAUGACGGUACCUAAAGAAUAAGCACCGGCUAACUACGUGCCAGCAGCCGCGGUAAUACGUAGGGUGCAAGCGUUAAUCGGAAUUACUGGGCGUAAAGCGUGCGCAGGCGGUCUCGUAAGUCAGAUGUGAAAUCCCCGAGCUCAACUUGGGAACUGCAUCCGAAACUGCGAGACUAGAGUGUGUCAGAGGGAGGUAGAAUUCCACGUGUAGCAGUGAAAUGCGUAGAUAUGUGGAGGAAUACCAGUGGCGAAGGCGGCCUCCUGGGAUAACACUGACGCUCAUGUACGAAAGCGUGGGGAGCAAACAGGAUUAGAUACCCUGGUAGUCCACGCCCUAAACGAUGUCAACUGGUUGUUGGGUCUUCAUUGACUUAGUAACGAAGCUAACGCGUGAAGUUGACCGCCUGGGGAGUACGGUCGCAAGAUUAAAACUCAAAUGAAUUGACGGGAACCC